ACUAUUGUAAAAUAUCUGCAACUGCAAGACUCAGCAAAUUCAGGGGGAAGCCAUCCACCGCAGCCGGGAAUCGAACCAGGAGAGCCAAGACCACAGGCGACUGCGCUAACCAGUCAACUAAAGGGUCCGACCCGAUCAGAUCUCUAUAGU
Lampris incognitus (smalleye Pacific opah) is the source of this 150-nucleotide long non-coding RNA. RefSeq lists it as uncharacterized. Lineage: Eukaryota; Metazoa; Chordata; Actinopteri; Lampriformes; Lampridae. The transcript is spliced from 3 exons. The record is from RefSeq and is a predicted model, not a curated record.